CAAUUGGGAAUGAAGUUCUCCCACGGGUAACCCAAACCGCAUUUCAUGCUGAUGACUUCUGCGAA
RNAcentral lists this non-coding RNA (65 nucleotides) under pig gut metagenome. RNAcentral describes it as "Fluoride riboswitch". It matches the Rfam family "Fluoride riboswitch aptamer (crcB RNA motif)", at positions 6 to 61 of the family's 64-position model. The record is from RNAcentral.